Molecule: ribosomal RNA, 400 nt
Filed under: uncultured bacterium
Lineage: Bacteria
Description: bacterial SSU rRNA
Rfam family: Bacterial small subunit ribosomal RNA
Source: RNAcentral
CUGGGCUUAAAUGUAGAGUGCAUGAGUGGGAAACCAUUCUUUCCUUCGGGACUCUUUACAAGGUGCUGCAUGGUUGUCGUCAGCUCGUGCCGUGAGGUGUCGGGUUAAGUCCCAUAACGAGCGCAACCCCUACCUUUAGUUGCCAUCAGGUAAUGCUGGGGACUCUAAGAAAACUGCCCGCGCAAGCGGUGAGGAAGGUGGGGAUGACGUCAAAUCAUCACGGCCCUUACGUCCAGGGCCACACACGUGCUACAAUGGUGUUGACAGAGGGCAGCUAUACCGCGAGGUAGUGCUAAUCCCGAAACAACAUCUCAGUUCGGAUUGGAGUCUGCAACUCGACUCCAUGAAGCUGGAAUCGCUAGUAAUCGCGCAUCAGCCACGGCGCGGUGAAUACGUUCCC